This 497-nucleotide ribosomal RNA is filed under the name uncultured bacterium. RNAcentral describes it as "partial 16S ribosomal RNA". It matches the Rfam family "Bacterial small subunit ribosomal RNA", at positions 28 to 507 of the family's 1533-position model. The record is from RNAcentral.
GAUGAACGCUGGCGGCGUGCCUAAUACAUGCAAGUCGAGCGAACAGACGAGGAGCUUGCUCCUCUGACGUUAGCGGCGGACGGGUGAGUAACACGUGGAUAACCUACCUAUAAGACUUGGAUAACUUCGGGAAACCGGAGCUAAUACCGGAUAAUAUAUUGAACCGCAUGGUUCAAUAGUGAAAGACGGUUUUGCUGUCACUUAUAGAUGGAUCCGCGCCGCAUUAGCUAGUUGGUAAGGUAACGGCUUACCAAGGCAACGAUGCGUAGCCGACCUGAGAGGGUGAUCGGCCACACUGGAACUGAGACACGGUCCAGACUCCUACGGGAGGCAGCAGUAGGGAAUCUUACGCAAUGGGCGAAAGCCUGACGGAGCAACGCCGCGUGAGUGAUGAAGGUCUUAGGAUCGUAAAACUCUGUUAUUAGGGAAGAACAAAUGUGUAAGUAACUAUGAACGUCUUGACGGUACCUAAUCAGAAAGCCACGGCUAACUACGUG